AAUAAACAAUGUGAAAGUGCUUGGGGUAGGAGACUGCACUCCCUUCCCUAUGCUCCAAGGGCCUCUGAGCUGGAACCUUCCAACUGGAAUCAGAGUGGGGAGAAGGAGCUGUCUGUGCAGUGAUCUAGAGAACAAGUUCCAGUGUGUGAGAUACCAGCCUGUCUUCCCUUACCCUUUUCUCAGGCACUCUACAUCCCCAUUGCACACUGGGAAAUAUAAAUUGGAAGAAGACAAAUAUCUCUAGACCGAGGACAGCAGCUGGGUUUAAGCCCACAUGAAUGAUAGCAAAUGAAUCUGAGAGAGAAG
Molecule: long non-coding RNA, 306 nt
Filed under: Fukomys damarensis (Damara mole-rat)
Lineage: Eukaryota; Metazoa; Chordata; Mammalia; Rodentia; Bathyergidae
Description: lncRNA (ENSFDAG00000027512.1)
Source: RNAcentral